CAGAGACUGCGAGCGUUAUUCGGAUUCACUGGGCGUAAAGGGUGCGCAGGCGGCCAAGUGUGUUAGGCGUGAAAGCCUGGGGCUUAACCUCAGAAUUGCACCUAAAACUACAUGGCUAGAGCAUUGGAGAGGGUAGCGGAAUUCACGGUGUAGCAGUGAAAUGCGUAGAUAUCGUGAGGAACACCAGAGGCGAAGGCGGCUACCUGGACAAUUGCUGACGCUCAGGCACGAAAGCGUGGGGAGCAAAAGGGAUUAGAUACCCCUGUAGUCCACGCCCUAAACGGUGCACACUAGGUCUUGGCGGAUUCGACCCCACCAGGGCCCAAGCUAACGCGUUAAGUGUGCCGCCUGAGGACUACGGUCGCAAGACUU
This 372-nucleotide ribosomal RNA is filed under the name uncultured organism. Its description in RNAcentral is "bacterial SSU rRNA". It matches the Rfam family "Bacterial small subunit ribosomal RNA", at positions 526 to 896 of the family's 1533-position model. The record is from RNAcentral.